This 445-nucleotide ribosomal RNA is filed under the name uncultured soil bacterium. Its description in RNAcentral is "bacterial SSU rRNA". It matches the Rfam family "Bacterial small subunit ribosomal RNA", at positions 26 to 475 of the family's 1533-position model. The record is from RNAcentral.
AGAUUGAACGCUGGCGGCAUGCCUUACACAUGCAAGUCGAACGGUAGAGUAGCAAUACUCGAGAGUGGCGAACGAGUGAGUAAUAUAUCGGAACGUGCCCAGUCGUGGGGGGAUAACGUAGAGAAAUUUACGCUAAUACCGCAUACGAUCUAAGGAUGAAAGCGGGGGACUCGCAAGAGCCUCGCGCGAUUGGAGCGGCUGAUAUCAGGUUAGGUUGUUGGUGAGGUAAAAAGCUCACCAAGCCGACGAUCUGUAGCUGGUUUGAGAGAACGACCAGCCACACUGGGACUGAGACACGGCCCAGACUCCUACGGGAGGCAGCAGUGGGAAUUUUGGACAAUGGGCGAAAGCCUGAUCCAGCAAUGCCGCGUGCAGGAAGAAGGCCUGGUUGUAACGUAGUACGUUUGUACGGUAACGAAAGGUACGUAGUCCUAACGUACGACGG